ACGUAGGGGGCGAGCGUUGUCCGGAGUUACUGGGCGUAAAGAGCGCGUAGGCGGUUGAAAAAGUCAGGUGUGAAAUUCCUCGGCUCAACCGAGGGACUGCGUCUGAAACUGUUCAACUGGAGUUUGGGAGAGGGAGCUGGAAUUCCUGGUGUAGCGGUGAAAUGCGUAGAUAUCAGGAGGAACACCCGUGGCGAAGGCGGCUUGCUGGACGAAAACUGACGCUGAGGCGCGAAAGCGUGGGGAGCAAACAG
Molecule: ribosomal RNA, 251 nt
Filed under: uncultured prokaryote
Description: partial 16S rRNA
Rfam family: Bacterial small subunit ribosomal RNA
Source: RNAcentral